Molecule: transfer RNA, 67 nt
Filed under: Schistosoma mansoni
Lineage: Eukaryota; Metazoa; Platyhelminthes; Trematoda; Strigeidida; Schistosomatidae
Source: RNAcentral
UCAGCGGCCGAGUGGAUAACGCGAUGGUGUUUGAAGCGAAAGGUACUGGGUUCGAGUCCCAGAGUGA